RNAcentral lists this long non-coding RNA (310 nucleotides) under Mytilus galloprovincialis (Mediterranean mussel). Lineage: Eukaryota; Metazoa; Mollusca; Bivalvia; Mytilida; Mytilidae. The record is from RNAcentral.
UGCGGAUGUUAGACUAACUUAAAUUAGUUCGUGUUGUUUAUUCUUUAGUUUUCUAUGUUGUGUCAUGUGUACUAUUGUUUGUCUGUUUGACCUUUUCAUUUUUAGCCAUGGUGUUGUCAGUUUAUGUUCGAUUUAUGAGAUUGACUGUCCCUCUGGUAUCUUUCGUCCCUCUCUUUUAAGUGACAUGAUUGAUGUCAGACUAACAUUAGUGGACAUGUAAGAUGCCAGCAUACAUUUGUGGACAUAUCUCAUGUUAGACGAACAUUAGUGAACAUGUCUGAUGUCAAACUAACAUUUUUGGACAUAUCUG